Molecule: ribosomal RNA, 200 nt
Filed under: uncultured bacterium
Lineage: Bacteria
Description: partial 16S ribosomal RNA
Rfam family: Bacterial small subunit ribosomal RNA
Source: RNAcentral
AGAGUUUGAUCCUGGCUCAGAACGAACGCUGGCGGCAUGCCUAACACAUGCAAGUCGAACGCGUGGUUUCGGCCACGAGUGGCGCACGGGUGAGUAGCGCGUGGGAACCUGCCUUUGGUUCGGGAUAACCGCGGGAAACUGCGGCUAAUACCGGAUGAGCCCCUAGGGGGAAAGAUUUAUCGCCGAAGGAGGGGCCCGCG